UACGUAGGGGGCAAGCGUUGUCCGGAAUUAUUGGGCGUAAAGAGCGCGUAGGCGGUCCGAUAAGUCGGCUGUGAAAGUCCAGGGCUCAACCCUGGAAAGCCGGCCGAUACUGUCGGACUAGAGUCCGGAAGAGGCGAGUGGAAUUCCUGGUGUAGCGGUGAAAUGCGCAGAUAUCAGUAGGAAUACCAAUGGCGAAGGCAGCUUGCUGGCAUGUAUCUGACGCUAAGGCACGAAAGCGUGGGGAGCGAACAGG
Molecule: ribosomal RNA, 253 nt
Filed under: uncultured bacterium
Lineage: Bacteria
Description: partial 16S ribosomal RNA
Rfam family: Bacterial small subunit ribosomal RNA
Source: RNAcentral